UGGGGAAUUUUGCGCAAUGGGCUAACGCCUGACGCAGCAACGCCGCGUGGAGGAUGAAGGUCCUUGGAUUGUAAACUCCUGUCAGCAGGGAAAAAGCGAGCCGACCUAAUACGUCGGCGAGUUGAUUGUACCUGCAGAGGAAGCCCCGGCUAACUCUGUGCCAGCAGCCGCGGUAAUACAGAGGGGGCAAGCGUUAUUCGGAAUUAUUGGGCGUAAAGGGCGCGUAGGCGGCUUUGCAAGUGGAAGGUGAAAUCCCUCGGCUUAACCGAGGAACUGCCUUCCAGACUGUGAGGCUUGAGACCGGGAGAGGUGAGUGGAAUUCCCAGUGUAGCGGUGAAAUGCGUAGAUAUUGGGAGGAACACCAGUGGCGAAGGCGGCUCACUGGACCGGUACUGACGCUGAGGCGCGAAAGCGUGGGGAGCAAACGG
Molecule: ribosomal RNA, 428 nt
Filed under: uncultured bacterium
Lineage: Bacteria
Description: bacterial SSU rRNA
Rfam family: Bacterial small subunit ribosomal RNA
Source: RNAcentral